This 465-nucleotide ribosomal RNA is filed under the name uncultured bacterium. Its description in RNAcentral is "partial 16S ribosomal RNA". It matches the Rfam family "Bacterial small subunit ribosomal RNA", at positions 338 to 795 of the family's 1533-position model. The record is from RNAcentral.
CCUACGGGUGGCAGCAGUGGGGAAUAUUGCGCAAUGGGCGAAAGCCUGACGCAGCGACGCCGCGUGAGGGAUGAAGGUCUUCGGAUCGUAAACCUCUGUCAGCAGGGAAGAACGGUCACUGUGCUAAUCAGCAGUGAAUUGACGGUACCUGCAAAGGAAGCACCGGCUAACUCCGUGCCAGCAGCCGCGGUAAUACGGAGGGUGCGAGCGUUAAUCGGAAUUACUGGGCGUAAAGCGCUCGUAGGCGGUAUGUCAAGUCAAGGGUGAAAUCCCCGCGCUCAACGUGGGAACUGCCUUUGAAACUGGCAAACUGGAGUGUGUGAGAGGAUAGUGGAAUUCCAGGUGUAGGAGUGAAAUGCGUAGAUAUUGGGAGGAACAUCAGUGGCGAAGGCGACUAUCUGGCACAUAACUGACGCUGAGGAGCGAAAGCGUGGGUAGCAAACAGGAUUAGAUACCCUUGUAGUC